Molecule: ribosomal RNA, 492 nt
Filed under: uncultured bacterium
Lineage: Bacteria
Description: partial 16S ribosomal RNA
Rfam family: Bacterial small subunit ribosomal RNA
Source: RNAcentral
AGUGAACGCUGGCGGUAGGCCUAACACAUGCAAGUCGAACGGCAGCACAGUAAGAGCUUGCUCUUACGGGUGGCGAGUAGCGGACGGGUGAGGAAUACAUCGGAAUCUACUUUUUCGUGGGGGAUAACGUAGGGAAACUUACGCAAAUACCGCAUUCGACCUACGGGUGAAAGCAGGGGAUCUUCGGACCUUGCGCGAUUGAAUGAGCCGAUGUCGGAUUAGCUAGUUGGCGGGGUAAAGGCCCACCAAGGCGACGCUCCGUAGCUGGUCUGAGAGGAUGAUCAGCCACACUGGAACUGAGACACGGUCCAGACUCCUACGGGAGGCAGCAGUGGGGAAUAUUGGACAAUGGGCGCAAGCCUGAUCCAGCCAUGCCGCGUGGGUGAAGAAGGCCUUCGGGUUGUAAAGCCCUUUUGUUGGGAAAGAAAAGCAGCAGGUUAAUACCCCGCUGUUCUGACGUUACCCAAAGAAUAAGCACCGGCUAACUUCGUG